AACAUAAUAAAGUCUAUGUUACGGCCAUAGAAUUGAUGUCGUAGGUACAUCUUAUGUUU
This 59-nucleotide transfer RNA is filed under the name Acanthobothrium sp. MZUSP 8033. Its description in RNAcentral is "tRNA-Arg". The record is from RNAcentral. RNAcentral also lists the same sequence under 2 other names. Lineage: Eukaryota; Metazoa; Platyhelminthes; Cestoda; Tetraphyllidea; Onchobothriidae.